CAGUACUGUUCCAUGUUCGGAGAGCUUGAAGUGAGGAAGUGAUAGUAGUAGGGAACCUUUCACUUCAAACUCUCUGAACAUGGAGCAGUGCUG
This 93-nucleotide microRNA precursor is filed under the name Callithrix jacchus (white-tufted-ear marmoset). RNAcentral's name for it is "microRNA cja-mir-9977 precursor". Lineage: Eukaryota; Metazoa; Chordata; Mammalia; Primates; Cebidae. The record is from miRBase by way of RNAcentral.